Molecule: long non-coding RNA, 695 nt
Filed under: Phaseolus vulgaris (common bean)
Lineage: Eukaryota; Viridiplantae; Streptophyta; Magnoliopsida; Fabales; Fabaceae
Description: long non-coding RNA (PVUL_LNC001190)
Source: RNAcentral
AAAAAAGCUUGAUUUGUGGUUUCUUGACAUCUUGUACUAGACGUGGAAAAUUGGUUGAAAUGUAUGAAGUUUUACCACAGAAGUUGGUUCAAAGUCUUGAUUGUGAGAACCAAAAUCAAAAACACAUGUACAAUGAAAUCAUAAACCAACAAGACAAUGAAAAGUUCAGUCCAUUAUGGAUUCUUUUCACAGCAAAAUCUGGGGGUGACACAAUAGCAUAAUUAAGAUUAGCCUACCUUAGCCUCUUAUAUAUAUCACCACGGUUGACCCUAUUAGUAGAAUAAUUAAAUUAAGCAGAACUUCUAGGAUGAACAGUGAUGGGUGUUGUCACCUUAUAUAUACUUGCAAGAGACCGAUAUUUCUUCAUCCUCUUUGGGCGAGCAAUCACUUCAACAUCACUCCCAAGUGUCUCGUUGUUUGGUAGUCUUUGAUCAACUACUUCUUCAUCUGAGAAUGAAACUCUCUUCCUCUUCCCUUUAACAUCAUCAUCAUUGUUGCUGCUUUCAUCUUCAUUGCUGAGUUGCAUAAGCGCCUCUACAAGAACGUCAUCGUUAGACUUGGCCAAAGAGUCAUGCUUUUGAGUUUUUCUUGUGUGUAAAGAGGGUGCUUCAUCUGCCAUUACACUAUUAUAUGGCUUUUUGAGAUAUGGGUCGUUAUUGUUUCUUAUAGUAUCUUCUUUCCAAUGACCGCGUUUU